GUGUUCUUACGGGGGGCAGCAGUGAGGAAUAUUGGUCAAUGGCCGAGAGGCUGAACCAGCCAAGUCGCGUGAGGGAAGACGGCCCUACGGGUUGUAAACCUCUUUUGUCGGGGAGCAAAGCGAGUCACGUGUGACUCAUUGAGAGUACCCGAAGAAAAAGCAUCGGCUAACUCCGUGCCAGCAGCCGCGGUAAUACGUAGGGUGCGAGCGUUAAUCGGAAUUACUGGGCGUAAAGGGUGUGCAGGCGGUUUUGCCAGAUGG
Molecule: ribosomal RNA, 261 nt
Filed under: uncultured bacterium
Lineage: Bacteria
Description: partial 16S ribosomal RNA
Rfam family: Bacterial small subunit ribosomal RNA
Source: RNAcentral